Molecule: transfer RNA, 76 nt
Filed under: Nostoc sp. PCC 7120 = FACHB-418
Lineage: Bacteria; Bacillati; Cyanobacteriota; Cyanophyceae; Nostocales; Nostocaceae
Also listed under: 11 other names
Description: tRNA-Lys (TTT) (tRNA-Lys-TTT-1-1)
Rfam family: tRNA
About the family: Transfer RNA (tRNA) molecules are approximately 80 nucleotides in length. Their secondary structure includes four short double-helical elements and three loops (D, anti-codon, and T loops). Further hydrogen bonds mediate the characteristic L-shaped molecular structure. tRNAs have two regions of fundamental functional importance: the anti-codon, which is responsible for specific mRNA codon recognition, and the 3' end, to which the tRNAs corresponding amino acid is attached (by aminoacyl-tRNA synthetases). tRNAs cope with the degeneracy of the genetic code in two manners: having more than one tRNA (with a specific anti-codon) for a particular amino acid; and 'wobble' base-pairing, i.e. permitting non-standard base-pairing at the 3rd anti-codon position.
Source: RNAcentral
GGGGUAUUGGCAUAGCGGCAAGUGCAUCGGACUUUUAAUCCGACUUAGACAGGUUCGACUCCUGUAUACCCCACCA